CGAGCGGGGCGUGAGGGGCGCGGCAGUCCCGGGCGGGAUCCGCCCCUGGGGCGGCUCCGUGUCACCGGCACUGCCGCAACAGCGAGAUUUGCUACUCGCGCUUGCUUGGCUGUGCGUGCGGUGCUGUUUUUAAUGCCUUCUACGGGCAGAUUUACGUGUUGUAAAUAGCUAUAGGGAAGGAGCGAACGCCACCGAGGUCACAGCAACGGUGUUUUUGCCUCUUGUGUGAUCUGUGCUCUUCGCAGCCGGGUCCUGCCGUAGGAAGAGCUCGGCAUAAAUUAUAGUGGAAGGGUUUUGUCGCUUCUAAGAGGUUGGCUGAUGUUCAGAAGAGCGUCUUGCUGUGAGACGGGCAGAGUUUGCCUUGACACGGAGAUUUCCUGAAGAGCCACUGUUCAUGACUACAUUUUUACUUGGAGUACAAAUAGAAUAAAAACAACCUUGUUUUGUAAGGCUAAGGGAUUAGAUUGAACAUCAAAAUUGCAUUUUUUAAGAGUCUGGUGGACUGUAGAAACCAAUUUCAGUCAGAGGUCACUCAUUUGGAAAUGGUACGGUAAGGAAAACAGCUUUUUCAGAGCAGUUUCCAGAAGGCAGACACCUCACUGCUGGGUAGCAAAGAGAACUGUGCAUCUGUUCAACCUGAGAAAUCACUUCACCCCAGAAUCCUGAGGUAAGGUCAGAGUACCUGAAGAAUCCUUCA
RNAcentral lists this long non-coding RNA (697 nucleotides) under Junco hyemalis (dark-eyed junco). RNAcentral's name for it is "lncRNA (ENSJHYG00000003829.1)". The record is from RNAcentral. Lineage: Eukaryota; Metazoa; Chordata; Aves; Passeriformes; Passerellidae.